CAUAAAGUGGUUAAUAAAUUUUUAUUUGUUGCAAGCUUAGAAGAAAAAAUAUGACAAAAAUUAUUAAAUUUGUUUAUUUAUUAAUCCUCUUUAUUUUCUUAUUUCUCGUUUUACCGGAAGCUAGUGCAGGUAAACCAUUUUUUUUCACCCUUUUGAACUUUCUUGUUUAUCUUAUACAAAAUCUUUCACUCGGUAAUAUUUGUUUCUUCUCUUUUAUAUCACAGCAAUAGCAAGGUCAAUAAGAUGUAAAGAAGAUUUUCAAUGUCUAUUCUAUAUAUGUACAGCUCCUUAUGUUGGAAAAUGCGUUGAUCGCAGAUGUUAUUGUCGUCCUCCAUUAGAAGAUUGGUAAGAGAUUGAUAUUGCAACCUCAAAAGACGAAGUUUAAAUCUCAAUUGAGACAGAUGUAAAAUGAUCAUUAGAAUCACCGUUAUUUAUAAUAAAUUUAUCUUUCCCAAUAUUUUAUUUAAAUGUUUUUUUUCCUAUCAUGACAAUAAAAACAAUGUCACCAUAUGAUUAUAUUAUGUAUGUAUGNNN
Molecule: long non-coding RNA, 534 nt
Filed under: Trifolium pratense (red clover)
Lineage: Eukaryota; Viridiplantae; Streptophyta; Magnoliopsida; Fabales; Fabaceae
Description: long non-coding RNA (TPRA_LNC014152)
Source: RNAcentral